GGAGAGAUGGCCGAGCGGCUGAAGGCACUCGCCUGCUAAGCGAGUAUCCCGGCAAAAACCGGGAUCGAGGGUUCGAAUCCCUCUCUCUCCGCCA
Molecule: transfer RNA, 94 nt
Filed under: Deltaproteobacteria bacterium
Lineage: Bacteria; Pseudomonadati; Myxococcota; Myxococcia
Also listed under: 1 other name
Description: tRNA-Ser
Rfam family: tRNA
About the family: Transfer RNA (tRNA) molecules are approximately 80 nucleotides in length.
Source: RNAcentral